Molecule: non-coding RNA, 73 nt
Organism: Omnitrophica bacterium GWA2_52_8
Lineage: Bacteria; Pseudomonadati; Candidatus Omnitrophota
Source: Rfam
GGCGGAGUAGCUCAGUUGGUAGAGCAGAGGACUCAUAAGCCUCGCGUCGGCGGUUCGAUUCCGUCCUCCGCCA